Molecule: ribosomal RNA, 464 nt
Filed under: uncultured bacterium
Lineage: Bacteria
Description: bacterial SSU rRNA
Rfam family: Bacterial small subunit ribosomal RNA
Source: RNAcentral
CCAGACUCCUACGGGAGGCAGCAGUGAGGAAUAUUGGUCAAUGGACGCAAGUCUGAACCAGCCAUGCCGCGUGCAGGAAGACGGCUCUAUGAGUUGUAAACUGCUUUUGUACGAGGGUAAACGCAGAUACGUGUAUCUGUCUGAAAGUAUCGUACGAAUAAGGAUCGGCUAACUCCGUGCCAGCGGCCGCGGUAAUACGGAGGAUUCAAGCGUUAUCCGGAUUUAUUGGGUUUAAAGGGUGCGUAGGCGGUUUGAUAAGUUAGAGGUGAAAUACCGGUGCUCAACACCGGAACUGCCUCUAAUACUGUUGAACUAGAGAGUAGUUGCGGUAGGCGGAAUGUAUGGUGUAGCGGUGAAAUGCUUAGAGAUCAUACAGAACACCGAUUGCGAAGGCAGCUUACCAAACUAUAUCUGACGUUGAGGCACGAAAGCGUGGGUAGCAAACAGGAUUAGAUACCCCAGUA